CAACACGGGGCCUUCACGGCAGAAUCCCUGGGUGCCUUGAGCUGAGCUGUGACGGGGCUGUGCUGUGAUGGGGCUGCCGAGUCUUACUCAUCCCUCCACCACCACCACCAUGUGUUCUUGGCUCUGGAGCCUCCUUUUUGUUAGUAAAAUUUCAUUUAUUUAGAACAAUUCAAGGUCAGCAGCCGAACUGAGACGGGUGUACAGAGCGUUCCCAUCUGCCCGCGCCCGGUUUUCCCAAGGAUUUCAGCGUCUCACGUCCGUGUGGGGCCCUGGUUACAAUUCAUCAGCCAAGACCCCACCUUAGGAACUCAAGUCCGCACUAUUCAGAGUCCCUUAGUUCGUCCCCUAAUGUCCUGCUGUGGCCCCAGGACCCCAUCCAGGAGCCCACAUGACGCUCGGGCAUCACAUCUCCUUGGGCCCCUCUGGGCUGGGGGGGCUCCUCAGACUUUCCUUGUUUGGGGUGAACUUCACAGGUUUCUGUUUGUUUGUUGUUUGGCCUUUUUAAGGCCAUAUGUGCAGCAUAUGGAGGUUCCCAGGCUCGAGGUUGAAUCAGAGCCACAGCAGCCGGCCUACACCGCAGCCACAGCAACACAGGAUCCAAGCCCCUUCUGCAACCUACACCACAGCUGACGGCAACGCCAGAUCCUUCACCCACUGAGCGAGGCCAGGGAUCCAACCUGCGUCCUCGUGGGUAUGCGUCGGGUCUGUUACCGCUGAGCCACUACGGGAACUCCCGAACUUAGCAGUUUUGAGGAGGGCUGGCCAGGUUUUGGUGGCGUGCCCCUUAGGUGGGGUUUGCCUGGUGUGUUUCUCGUGGUUCGUCCGGCUGGGCGUUGGGUUUUGGGGGAGACCACAGAGGGGAGGAGGGUCCCUCUCACCCCGACGCAUCGCGGCUGCGUGCCGUCGCCAGGGUCUGUCACCGGCCACGCGGAGCUUGGAGGUCGUGUCUCCCCGGAGCCCCUUUCCCUUCUCUGCUCUGGUCUCCUGGCCCCUUCAUGGGGGCCGCCCAUAUGGAACCACGCACCUCAGCGAUGCCCAGCUAAUUCGAGCCUGGGACACCGUAGGUGCCUCAUUAACCGUCUCUGAACGGAAAGGAGCAGGGAAAUCAACCCUGCGCUGUUGGCCUCGUUAGGAAUGAGGUUCUCCCUUGAUUGGAAUCCGACCCUCGGCUUGUGGUCUAAUCAAGCUCAGCUGCUCCCUCCAGCCUGGAUGGCUGGCUCGGCUCCCUCAUGGCCUGGGGGGCUCCCACGGUCCCCCACUCCCAGCCUCUGCCCCCCACCAGGAGGGUACCCCCAGCCAGAGGGGCUACCAGCUCCCCCACAAACGCCCUAUUUUGAACCCCACGGAGACCUCAAAAUCACCCCAGCACAGAAAGACCCACAACAAUAGAACAGCAAGGGAGGGUUGUGGUCGUGGCUGUCCCCAGCCCCUCCCCGCUCGGCCUCAGGGGCCGGGUCUCUGGAACAUUCCACCCCUACCCCACUCUGGCUGCUUUUGUCUGCUGGUCUGGUGUCCAUCAAAGCCACGAGCAGCCUUGGAGCCUGCAGGAGGUGGCACCCUGCCCUAGCGACUGUCCCCACCCUGCAGAGAGGUAAACUGAGACGCAGAGAGGGACACGCCCUACAUCACGUCCCACAGUGCCCCGUGGAAAGGUGGACUCGAACCCCAGCCCAGCUGCGAAGCACACCGCCUCCCAGUGACUGGGGGCCCCUCUGUUCCAUGACCCAGCAAAAGCCGGUCAAGUGGACAGUGGAAGGGGCUUGGCCAGGUCCCAGCGAGCCAGCCACCCGGCCUGGGCAGGUCUGGGCAGGUGGGGGCAGUCUUGUCCCUCAGGUGGUGUGGGCAGAAGCCUCCACCUCCCUCUUCCAGGCGGGGAGGGGCUUGGCAUGGGGGGGUCCCCAAACUCUGCUUCUUAUUCGCAAGACCUAGGGGGGCUGUUGGAAGGCACGGUUGGGGAGACCCUGGCCAGCCUCACACUCAGGAGCAGGGGGGAAAGCUGGCUGCUGAGUCAGGAAAGCGGGGGUCCUGACAAACACCCGGAGGCUGCCCCCCGCUCUCACCUUCUGUGGCUCCCUACUUCCCCCGAGGGUCCGGAUUCUUUAUAAGGCCUGGCAGGUGCGCAAGCGCUGCCUGAGGCCCUCGUCAGCCCCCUGACAGCCCCUACCUGCUGUCACGCGGCCUCCACCCUGUCACACCGGCUACGCCUCUGCAGGGCCAUCCCCACGGGGAUUCUGGUUGCUGCCUCGGGACCCCAAAAUGUCCCUACUUUGAUCAUCGUGUCCAUGCAGUUUUUCAAAAGUCCCUCCCAAACAGGGACCGUGUGAAGGCUGCCUAGACCUUGUCAGCUGUUUGGAUCCUUAACCCACUGAGUGAUGCCGGGGAUCGAACCUGUGUCCUUACAGACAUCAAUCAGGUUCAUUACCACUGAGCCACCACGGGAAUUCCCUGAAUUUCAUCUUGAGGCACAUGAACCCUGAGGUCAGCAUCACGGGAUACGGCCCGAAGCAGAUACCUUAGUUUUCUUCUAGCAAAAUUCACAGCUUCCUGUUUCCCAGAUAAAAGACUGAGGCCAGUCAGAUCGGGGACAGAGUUGGUUUUGAUGAGCUUUGUAUGAAUAAAUCAGAAACAGGCGGAGGAAAUACCCUGCAGCCUGCCCACGCCGCCAGGGCUGAAAACCCAGGGGAAACGCAUCAAGGGCAGAAGCCCGGGCCAACCCCAGUUCCAGCACCAAGCUCCCUGGGGACCCCACAGGCCGAACACAUUCCUGGGAUCCAGCAGCUGGCGGGGCGGGGUCCAGGGCGGGAGAGUGUGCGGCCAAUCAGGUGCCUGGGGAUGAGUCACCCUCAGAGGCAACACCGGGGAGCUCGAGGCCGGAGCCAAGAUCAGCGCGGCCGCAGCCCAGACCCUCUCCUGCAAGUCUGCCCGGGCCUCGCUUUACCUGCCCGUCAAGUGGGAGCACUUGCUGGAAUGGCCCCAGUGGGGCCACAGAGGCGGCCAGUCUCAGCAGCGCGGGCGUGCGUGCUCUGCGGGGAACGUUGGGGUCACCUACUUUGCACAGGUCGGGUACUAAGAGUAUCCGACUCCCAGCCACUGGCCACAAACCUGUUUUCCCUCCGUCCCGGUGACUCAGAGACUUGGAAACCGGGCAACUUGUAGCUGCGCCUGUUGGCAUUGCCCAGAGCGGAUGCCCCUCGAACCUCCUGGGUGCCCCCCCAACACCCCCCUCGGGCAGGGCGAGCCCGAAGCCAGCUGGCAAACACAUCGGCUCCCCAGGCCUGGCUGAGACGGGCACCCCGCUUUCAGGCUGGGUCACAGGUCCAGCAACUGUGUACAGGCUGGGGUGGGGGUGCUUCCACAGCACCAGGGAAGUGGGCAACGGAGGAGAAGAGAAGGAGGGAGGGUGCCGGGGGACCAGGGAAGGAGCCAGGGCCCAAGGGUGCUGAGCAGGCAGGAAAAGGGCGGGAAGCCCAGAGACAGGUCUGACCCAGAACCACAGCCCCCGCCACUCAGGGUGCCAGGCACACUCCUGACCCACCCACCCCCCCCAAGCCCAACUCCCCAGUUUCCAGUGAGGGCAGCGGGGGUCGGGGAGAGGCCUCAGAGAGGAGAGUUACAGCCCAGGAGCAGGGAGCUGGGCUCCCCCAGAAGGUCCCCCAGGGCUGGCACGGAAGUCCCUGGGAUGCAUGAGGACUCGUCCCCAGACACUGGGAACAAGGGCCACCAGCACCCAGGGCCCCGCCAGCCCCAGGGGCCUGGGUCGCCCACCUGGAGGGACAGGGCCGGGGGUGAAGGGACGGGGGGGGCUCGACAGUGAGGGGUGGCAGCCUCUCAUCCGUGGCAGGUUUGCACUCCCACCUGCCAGGGCUCCAGAACUCUCCUUACUCUGAAGGAUUCCCUGAGGCCCCAGGGCCACCGCAGAUGCCAUCAGGGUGGCAUCGGCUGUUCACUCACGUAUGUUGACAUCAGCAGGUGGCCCCCCACGGCUUCCAGCCUCGGCCUCUGAACCCCCUUUAACCCCCGCAGCCCAAGCCUCCAUCCCAUUUCACACCCCAGGAAACCGGGGCCUCCGCACACCCAGGCCCUGCAGAUGCAAGGGUCCCAUGCCCCACCCUCGCUCGGCCUGGAGAUGCACCUUCGCCCUCAUCGUGGGGCUGAGACUUGGUUCCAGGCACCUCCCUGCUGAGAGGCAAACCCUCAGACUUGGGCCCUCAGCGCCCCUCUCCCUGCUGCUUUAGGCCAGAGCCUCAGGCCUGCGGGCGGCAUCCCUCAGAGCACCUGCCUCUCCAGGCUGGGGCAUCAGGCCUCCAAUAACAAAGUCAUCAAAAGUUUCUCUCUCGAACCAGAGCACCCUCCUCUUCCGCCACGUUUCCUUUUCACUCUGGCUGCCCGGAGGCUCAGCACCGCAUUCAGGGCGCACCGCACCGCCUCUGCUUGCUUCUCCACCCAGCCCUGCCCUCUGGGGUCGGCUGUGCUGGCCCAUCCCCUGUCUGUCUUCUUUGAUAUGCAUGAGUCCCUGGCAAACCUCCUUGGACCUGGGCCCUCAGACCUUGAACUUGCUCUGCUGAAGCUUGCAGCAGUGGCGCUGUCUCCACCAAGGCUGAUGUCCAAACAGGCCACGCGUGGGCUCAGCGGGCAGUAGGUCCUAAGGAUGCAGGCCUGGGGGAAAGGAGGGGUGAAGGGAGAGGACAGGGAGUGCCCAGCGCCCUUGCCGACGAGGCUUGCUGGAUGUCCGUGGGAGGUUGUUGCAAAGGCUAGAAACCGGAGGGGCUGGAGGCCGUGGCAGUGGGCAGAGGAAGGGUCUCCAGGAAGAGGCCAGGACCAAGGUCAGGCUCCAAACGACCAAGAGCCGGGUGGGGAACGGUCCCCAGAGGGCCUGCCCGUCCCCCCACAGGACAGCUCUGCUUUUCUCUCAAACCAGGACCCCCAGAACCCAGGUUUAAGCAGCUGUCCCCUUUGGGCUCCAGUACCCCCUCUGUGGCCAUCUGUGGGGCAGGUCCUGGGGACCGAGGGGUCACCUGGCCCCUGCCGGUGGGGAAGCACUGUCUCUGGGGGAGGCAGCCGGCAUUGGCCUCCAGAGGGGACGGAAAAGAAACCCCCCCUGUCCCCAUAGCUCCAACCCUGUGUCAGGGAGCAGCUGAGCGGGGGGCGCAGUCCCCAGACUCGGGUCCCUCCGCCCGCCUAGCUUACAAGGCAGUCAUGAUAAAACAGGGCCUGUUCCGUCAGCAGCACAAUGGCCCGCGGAGACUGAGGGGGUGGCUUCACGUCACCCCCGUGCUGGUUCCCAGGCACAGUGUUCCCUGGGGACCCAGCCCGGGGGUGCGGGCGGCCCAGGUUCAAGGGCACACGUCCCACAGGAGGCGGAGCCCAGCUGGCCCUUUAAGAAGGCCGGGGGCCGCUGCUGGCACAGCGCACAGCUGGCCCAGCGCAGAGACGGCACGUUCCUGAUCCUUCUGGAAGGCUGAGUUGGAAAGGAGACAAAGUGUCCUUGCUCAGCUCAGUAAACAAGCCUGAAGUGUUUUGAAAGCCUCUGCCGAUGUAAAUGACUGUGAAAUAAAUG
Molecule: long non-coding RNA, 5557 nt
Filed under: Sus scrofa (pig)
Lineage: Eukaryota; Metazoa; Chordata; Mammalia; Artiodactyla; Suidae
Description: lncRNA (ENSSSCG00000056249.1)
Source: RNAcentral